Molecule: long non-coding RNA, 892 nt
Organism: Tympanuchus pallidicinctus (lesser prairie-chicken)
Lineage: Eukaryota; Metazoa; Chordata; Aves; Galliformes; Phasianidae
Exons: 2
Source: RefSeq, a predicted model, not a curated record
GAGGAAUGUGGCUCAGUCAGCUUUAGAAAACACAACUUGUCCCUUUUGACAACAUGAUUUUUGAGGAAGGCAUAUGCAUACAGCUUAACGUGAAAGGGAACCUGCAAAUGUCGUCACAAUCCAACUAAUGCACACAUAUGUACUGAAUUAAACCAAACAGAAAACUUUAAAAAUACCCAAUAAAACAAGUGGAAGAUUGCAAUAUGCAAAGAUAGUGCUAAAGCUGGCAUAGCUGAUCAUUUCCAUUACAGGUAGUAACAGGAAACUGCACUGCGUGCAUUGUACAUGCCCAGCCCUUCGUGUAACUGAUAAAUAAAAUCCCAAACAACAACCAGUUACAAUCACUGAGAAUUAAAUUUAAUCAAACCUGUUAACUGACAUUAAAAGUUGUUGUCUUGUAUUUUAAAAACAGCCAGGUUAUGGAGCACAAAUGUGAUACUUCCGGAUUCAGCAAGAGUUUCACAACAGCAUUUGUCAACCUUGAAGGAAAGUGUAUCCACACGUGAUACAGACAAGAUUAAGAACUCCUUUCUGCUAACUGGAGAGUCUAAUCGGCUCCAGAACCAGAACCACAACCAGCCCCAUGGAAGCAUUAAGUUCCUCUGAGAGGAGUUCAGCGGCAGCUAUCGGUUUUGCCAAGAAGUCAGGGGAGAAAGGCUGACAUUUCAAUCGUAUCAGUUAUGGACUCGCAAAACAGGCCCUCUAAACGAAAAAAUAAGGAAAGACUCAUCCCUGAUCCCUGCAGGAGGCUGUGCAGCUGCACCACGUUCUGCAGGAAGACAUGCUACGUGAGCUACCACCGCUCAGUGAGGUGGUGAGCCCCAACCUCGUAAAUCUAAGACUUCUAAGAAUUCUAUGUCAAAUAAAUAAAAUGCCAACAUAAAAAUCCUAA